UGAGAGGGUGAUCGGCCACACUGGGACUGAGACACGGCCCACACUCCUACGGGAGGCAGCAGUAGGGAAUCUUCCGCAAUGGACGAAAGUCUGACGGAGCAACGCCCCGUGAGUGAUGAAGGUUUUCGGAUCGUAAAGCUCUAUUGUUAGGGAAGAACAAGUGCCGUUCAAAUAGGGCGGCACCUUGACGGUACCUAACCAGAAAGCCACGGCUAACUACUUGCCAGCACCCGCGGUAAUACGUACGUGGCAAGCGUUGUCCGGAAUUAUUGGGCGUAAAGGGCUCGCAUGCGGUUUCUUAAGUCUGAUGUGAAAGCCCCCGGCUCAACCGGGGAGGGUCAUUGGAAACUGGGGAACUUGAGUGCAGAAAAGGAGAGUGGAAUUCCACGUGUAGCGGUGAAAUGCGUAGAGAUUUUGGAGGAACACCAGUGGCGAAAGCGACUCUCUCGUCUGUAACUGACGCUUAUGAGCGAAAGCGUGGGGAGCGAACAUGAUUAGAUACCCUGGUAGUCC
This 513-nucleotide ribosomal RNA is filed under the name Bacillus amyloliquefaciens. Its description in RNAcentral is "bacterial SSU rRNA". It matches the Rfam family "Bacterial small subunit ribosomal RNA", at positions 293 to 796 of the family's 1533-position model. The record is from RNAcentral. Lineage: Bacteria; Bacillati; Bacillota; Bacilli; Caryophanales; Bacillaceae.